GUGAGGAAUAUUGGUCAAUGGACGGAAGUCUGAACCAGCCAUGUCGCGUGCAGGAAUAAGGUCCUAUGGAUUGUAAACUGCUUUUAUUCGGGAAUAAACCUCUUUACGUGUAGGGAGCUGAAGGUACCGAAGGAAUAAGCACCGGCUAACUCCGUGCCAGCAGCCGCGGUAAUACGGAGGGUGCAAGCGUUAUCCGGAAUCAUUGGGUUUAAAGGGUCCGCAGGCGGGCUAUCAAGUCAGGAGUGAAAUCCCACAGCUUAACUGUGGAACUGCCUUUGAAACUGAUGGUCUUGAAUUAAGUGGGCGUUGGCGGAAUAUGACAUGUAGCGGUGAAAUGCAUAGAUAUCAGCCAGAACACCGAUUGCGAAGGCAGGUGGCUGUACCUUAAUCGACGCUGAUGCACGAAAGCAUGGGGAGCAAACAGGAUUAGAAACCCUUGUAGUCC
Molecule: ribosomal RNA, 445 nt
Filed under: uncultured bacterium
Lineage: Bacteria
Description: partial 16S ribosomal RNA
Rfam family: Bacterial small subunit ribosomal RNA
Source: RNAcentral